RNAcentral lists this unclassified non-coding RNA (422 nucleotides) under soil metagenome. RNAcentral's name for it is "partial contains 5.8S ribosomal RNA, internal transcribed spacer 2, and large subunit ribosomal RNA". The stretch from base 1 to 120 matches the Rfam family "5.8S ribosomal RNA", at positions 35 to 154 of the family's 154-position model. The record is from RNAcentral.
GAUGAAGAACGCAGCGAAAUGCGAUAAGUAAUGUGAAUUGCAGAUUUCAGUGAAUCAUCGAAUCUUUGAACGCACCUUGCGCCUUGUGGUAUUCCACAAGGCAUGCCCGUUUGAGUAUCAUUAAAUCAUCAACUCUAAAACCUUUGUGGUUUUUUUAGAGCUUGGUCUUGAGGGUUUUGCAGGCUUUUUUUUUUCGAGUCUGCUCCCUUUAAAUGCAUUAGCGAGACUUCCCUAUGCUGAACCGUCUCUUUGACGUGAUAAUUAUCUGCGUCGAAUUUUGGUUCUCGUUGGGCUUGCUUCUAAUCGUCUGUUAAAGACAAAACGGAUUUGGGUGCAUAUAUGCGCCUUUUUCCAAAACCUUUUUUGAUCUCAAAUCGGGUAGGACUACCCGCUGAACUUAAGCAUAUCAAUAAGCGGGAGGA